AACGAACGCUGGCGGCAGGCUUAACACAUGCAAGUCGAGGGGUAUAGUUCUUCGGAGCUAGAGACCGGCGCACGGGUGCGUAACGCGUAUGCAAUCUACCUUUUACAGAGGGAUAGCCCAGAGAAAUUUGGAUUAAUACCUCAUAGUAUGUGAGAAUCGCAUGGUUUUCACAUUAAAGUUCCAACGGUAAAGAUGAGCAUGCGUCCCAUUAGCUAGAUGGUAAGGUAACGGCUUACCAUGGCUACGAUGGGUAGGGGUCCUGAGAGGGAGAUCCCCCCACACUGGUACUGAGACACGGACCAGACUCCUACGGGAGGCAGCAGUGAGGAAUAUUGGACAAUGGGCGCAAGCCUGAUCCAGCCAUGCCGCGUGCAGGAAGAAGCAUCUAUGGUGUGUAAACUGCUUUUGUACGGGAAGAAACACUCCUACGUGUAGGAGCUUAGACGGUACCGUAAGAAUAAGGAUCGGCUAACUCCGUGCCAGCAGCCG
Molecule: ribosomal RNA, 489 nt
Filed under: uncultured bacterium
Lineage: Bacteria
Description: bacterial SSU rRNA
Rfam family: Bacterial small subunit ribosomal RNA
Source: RNAcentral